Molecule: ribosomal RNA, 440 nt
Filed under: uncultured bacterium
Lineage: Bacteria
Description: partial 16S ribosomal RNA
Rfam family: Bacterial small subunit ribosomal RNA
Source: RNAcentral
CCUACGGGAGGCAGCAGUGGGGAAUAUUGCACAAUGGGGGAAACCCUGAUGCAGCGACGCCGCGUGAGUGAAGAAGUAAUUCGUUAUGUAAAGCUCUAUCAGCAGGGAAGAAAAUGACGGUACCUGAGUAAGAAGCCCCGGCUAACUACGGGCCAGCAGCCGCGGUAAUACGUAGGGGGCAAGCGUUAUCCGGAUUUACUGGGUGUAACGGGAGCGUAGACGGCAGUGCAAGUCUGGAGUGAAAGGCGGGGGCUCAACCCCCGGACUGCUCUGGAAACUGUACGGCUGGAGUGCAGGAGAGGUAAGUGGAAUUCCUAGUGUAGCGGUGAAAUGCGUAGAUAUUAGGAGGAACACCAGUGGCGAAGGCGGCUUACUGGACUGUAACUGACGUUGAGGCUCGAAAGCGUGGGGAGCAAACAGGAUUAGAUACCCGAGUAGUC